GACGGAGGGUGCAAGCGUUGUCCGGAAUCACUGGGUGUAAAGGGUGUGUAGGCGGGGCUGUGAGUCAGGGGUGAAAGCCCGCGGCUUAACCGCGGAACUGCCUUUGAUACUGCAGCUCUUGAGUCCUGGAGAGGUCGCUGGAAUUCGUGGUGUAGCGGUGAAAUGCGUAGAUAUCACGAGGAACACCGGAGGUGUAGACGGGCGACUGGACAGUGACUGACGCUGAGGCACGAAAGCGUGGGGAGCAAACAGG
Molecule: ribosomal RNA, 253 nt
Filed under: uncultured bacterium
Lineage: Bacteria
Description: partial 16S ribosomal RNA
Rfam family: Bacterial small subunit ribosomal RNA
Source: RNAcentral